UGCGUGACAGGCAAGCAUUACUGCCUGAGUUCCGCCUCCUGUCAGAUCAACGGUGGCAUUACAUUCUCAAAGGAGUGCGAACCCUAUGGUGAACUGCACGUGCAAGGGAUCUAGGUUGUGUGUUCCCUCUUGG
This is a long non-coding RNA of Sapajus apella (tufted capuchin), 133 nucleotides long. RefSeq lists it as uncharacterized. The record is from RefSeq and is a predicted model, not a curated record. The transcript has 3 exons. Lineage: Eukaryota; Metazoa; Chordata; Mammalia; Primates; Cebidae.